UCUAUCUAAAAACUGUUUUAUUUCCAUUUUUAUUUUCAGUAUAAAAUCUUGGUACAAUGUAAAACAGAUUAAGCCUUUAUUUUUAAAGCCUUUAUUUUAAAGUUAGAGGAGGAAAUGGCACAUUUCAAAGUCUGCAUUUAGACCAUUUGGAAUCAGACUAUUUAGUUUGAAUAUCCAUUCCAUCUCUACCUUACUUAAUUUUUGAUUAAAAUCUCCUCCCCUCCAAUCUUUAGUUACUUUCUUAAUUCCUAAAAACAUAGUUCCUUUUAAUUCACAGUCAUGAUAGUUUUUAUAAUGCAGAGACACACUGUGUUUCUCGAAUCCUUUACUUAUAUUACGGCCAUGUUCCUCUAUUCUUAUAUGCAAAGGUCUGGUAGUUUUUCCUAUGUAAUUUAAACCACAGGGACAUCGUAAGAGAUAGAUUACAUUUUUUGAGUGGCAUGUAAUAAAUUCUUUGAUUUGG
Molecule: non-coding RNA, 463 nt
Organism: Pelobates cultripes (western spadefoot toad)
Lineage: Eukaryota; Metazoa; Chordata; Amphibia; Anura; Pelobatidae
Source: the annotation of a GenBank genome assembly